UCAGUAGUCUUUUAAUUGAAGGCUUGUAUGAACGGUUGGAUGAGAGAAUAGCUGUCUCUUAAAUAACUUAGAAUUUGACUUUUAAGUGAAAAGGCUUAAAUUUAAUAGUGGGACGAUAAGACCCUGUAAAACUUUAUACGCAUAGUAUUUAGUCUUUAAAUUAUAUUAAAAUAUUGAUACAUACUUUGGGUAUUUCGUUGGGGAGACGUUGAUAUAAUUUGUAACUGUCUAAUUAAAUAAAAUAAUUAUCAUUAUACUUUGAUCCUUCUUUGUGGGUUAUAAGAAUAAGUUACUUCAGGGAUAACAGCGUAAUUUUCUCAGAGAGUUCUUAUCGAAGAGAUUAGUUGCGACCUCGAUGUUGAAUUAAAAUUUCAGCUAGGUGUAGCCGCUUAGUUAGUAGGUCUGUUCGACCUUUAAAAUUUUAC
Molecule: ribosomal RNA, 425 nt
Filed under: Palaemon peringueyi
Lineage: Eukaryota; Metazoa; Arthropoda; Malacostraca; Decapoda; Palaemonidae
Description: partial 16S ribosomal RNA
Rfam family: Bacterial large subunit ribosomal RNA
Source: RNAcentral